GCCAAUACAGGGGGGGGACCGGAAGGAGACACAGGGCGCCGCCAUGACAGGUUGGUCCUAAAGGGAACGAGGCAACUUGCCGGUUCUGUACCGGAAAAAACGAGGCAGGGACAGCUGACCUGGGCGCCGCCAUGACAGCCCGCACCGGAAAAGGCGGGGCUCUUCUCCCUGACUGAUUUCCCUCCGGCACCGGCCUCGAGAUGCAGGCGGCCCUGGAGGUCACUGCUCGCUACUGUGGCCGGGAGCUGGAGCAAUAUGGUCAGUGUGUGGCGGCCAAGCCUGAGUCAUGGCAGCGGGACUGUCACCACCUUAAGAUGAGUAUCGCUCAAUGCACAUCCUCUCACCCAAUCAUCCGGCAGAUCCGCCAGGCCUGUGCUGAGCCUUUUGAGGCCUUUGAGGAGUGUCUUCGACAGAAUGAGGCAGCAGUGGGCAACUGUGCAGAGCACGUGCGCCGCUUCCUGCAGUGUGCUGACCAGGUGCAGCCACCACGCUCACCCUCGAAUGUGGAGUAAGAAUUCUCUAAACUGCCUGCAGUCUUGAGGACACCCUUCUUUUCUUCUAUGUGGUGGUGAAACCAAAAAUCCUAAUUAUUCCAUGAUCAGUGCUUUUGUCAAGAGGAUACUGAGCUUGAUGUCAUCACAUCGGACUGACACCAGGAAUUAGUGUGAUGUGGGCUUGCUGAGCUGCGCGUCAAAGCAGAUUUUACGUAAUGAAGUAAAAGCGAUCAAGUAAAAAAAAAUCUCAUUAAAUGCUUCUGUGAAUUUUGAGGAAAUGGAAAUGUGACCAAAAUGCACAUUAUGAACACCUCAGUGUCACAGUGCUCAUUGGGACCUCAGGUGGAAAGCUGCAGUCCUAAAGUAUAAAGAGAAGCUGGUAAAGCUAAAAGGAGAAGAGCUUCCCUUCCAAACCAGGAUCCGAUUAGGAUUAAGCUGUAAACAAAUGAGGGCCUCAGCCAGCUCUGAUGUGCGGGCCAUAAGGGUCUCGGCCGUAUCAUGAAGCAGAGGGCUAGGUGGGCUUUAUUGACCAUGUGAUGGACCUCAGCUUGGGGCACCAACGGCCCUUGGCAGCUUUCCUGUUCAGUCCCUCCUAGCUUUCCUUCAUUCCUGAACACGGCCAUCCCCACCUUGCAAAGAAUUCCUCGCAUUGCACUUGCUGCCCCAGCUGUAUUUUGUGCAUACCUCUGUGACUGCUUUUACCACGCCAGACCGUAUUGCAAGUCUUUUUGACGUGGCUGGCUGCUCAACUGAAUUCCUGGAGGGAGCCUGGCCCGGGGAACCCUGUCAACGAGGGUUUGGUGCGUUGAGAAGAGACGAAUGUCUGCUCUCUCUUGGGGUCUGCAGGCACCCAUCUCUUCCAGACUGUGGCCUGGGUGAGGGGGUGCCGUGGGCUGAGGAGGGAGAAGCAGGCCAGGGCAAGCCACUUUGGAGCAGGACGGGCAGGUACUGCCCAGAGGCAGGAAGCAGUGGCUGGGAUUCAACAGGGUAUUUACAAAACUCAGUUAUCUCUUCACUUUGGAUAGAAACCCCAUAAUUUAAGAAAUGAAGACGAUAAACCUGAGCUUCAGGGUGAACUUUGGCACUCGAAAGCAGGCUCCUGGGACUGCAGUUGCUAAAGAACUAAUAAUUAGAGGGGCGCCUGGGUGGCUUAGUCGGCUGAGCCUCCGAUUUCAUCUCAGGUCAUGGUCUAUGGUUCUUGAGUUCGAGCCCUGCAUCAGCGCAAAGCCUGCUAUGGAUCCUCUGUCCCUUUUCUCUCUGCCCCUCCCCUGCUUGUGUGUGGGCUCUCUCUCUCUCUCUCUCUCUCUCUCUCAAAAUAAACAUUUAAAAAAAAACUAAUUAAGUGGCAGGUGGCAACCAACUCAGGUCUGGGCAUCGAGAGCCCAAAGGUGAUGGAAGUCCCUCCCCCACUAGUUAAUCCAACCCUAGGGCCUUGGAGCUUCGGCCUCUUCUCUGCUUUGCCUCUCAUCCUGAGCGAGUAAGCAGAAUACAGGGAAGGAGGGUGGUGAAUGUUGUGUCUCCCCAACCCUGUCAUACCAACAUGCUAAUAGUCCUGGUGGAAAAUUUUCUUGUAACUGUCGGAAAUGACACAGAUCAUGAAACAUCAAUAGCACAUAUAUCACAACAUGACAUUGGGAAACAUAAGUUAUUGUUCUGCUUGUCCUACGAUAGCGGUGACCACACUUUCACAAAGAAAGAAAAAACAAACAUCGAGAGCUCUCUUCUGUAGAGACACCAACACCUCAGAAAGGAACCUGGAAUCUGAUUCCAGAACAUUCCAGCCGGUCUCUGCUUGCAUCGGGGCCCCAUUCCCUUUGUGUCUUUGUUCUUUCAACUUUAUUGAAUGCCUUCUAGCAGGAUAGCAUUGUGAUGUCUACCACAAGGGAAGAAGUUUAACUUGUAAAAGGAUUUGAGCAACUCUGUAGGUUAAAAACUAAACAAAGACAAAUUCCUCUUAACUAUUUGCCUAGUUCUGCUUUCUGUUAUGCACUCCAGCUGUAACCCACUGUGAGCAUUAUUUGUCACACGGGAAAGAGAACCCGGCCCUUAUUCCCCCGAGCUUACCUCUUCCACGUAACCAAGGUAAAGUGAGAAGCCUUGGCCUGCAGAGGACAAAGGUCAGAGCUCAGACCUUUAUUCACAAGCCCUGUGGUCUUGGGAAGGGACUCCUGAACCCAGUUUCUUCUUAUCUGUAGAAUGUGGAUAACUAUACUGCUCCCCAAGCCUCUGUGAGGAGGGAAGGAGGGGAUAUACAUGGCAACAGCUAACAUUCAUGAAGCUAAUAAUUUUUGAAGUUUUUUUUUAAAUUUACUUACUGAUUUAAGUUUAUUUCAGAGAGAGAGAGAGAGAGAGAGAGCACAAGUGGGGGAGGGAGAGAGAGAGAGGUA
RNA transcript from Prionailurus viverrinus (fishing cat), 2881 nucleotides. It is a transcript of the gene named coiled-coil-helix-coiled-coil-helix domain containing 5, with no coding region annotated. The record is from RefSeq and is a predicted model, not a curated record. Lineage: Eukaryota; Metazoa; Chordata; Mammalia; Carnivora; Felidae. The transcript is spliced from 5 exons.